UGUGCUGAUUUCACCAAAUCUGAAGCAUGUGAUGGAAUAGAAAAAGCAAGUAGCUGCGGCACAGAAAUAUUAAACAGACUCAUGCUGAAGGAAAAUGCUGAAGACUCAAAUUAUAGCAUCGACUUAAUAUAUUCUUCGAUAAUGCAAAUAUAGAGCUUCAACCAUUUAAGCAUUUGCUAACUAAUUAUUUUCGAAAAAAUAAAAUUUACCCUUAGCAAGUUCAA
Non-coding RNA from Parasteatoda tepidariorum (common house spider), 224 nucleotides. The record is from RefSeq and is a predicted model, not a curated record. NCBI's taxonomy places the organism in Eukaryota, Metazoa, Arthropoda, Arachnida, Araneae, Theridiidae.